AUUGAACGCUGGCGGCAGGCCUAACACAUGCAAGUCGAGCGGAGGAAGGGAGCUUGCUCCUGGAUUCAGCGGCGGACGGGUGAGUAAUGCCUAGGAAUCUGCCUGGUAGUGGGGGAUAACGUCCGGAAACGGGCGCUAAUACCGCAUACGUCCUGAGGGAGAAAGUGGGGGAUCUUCGGACCUCACGCUAUCAGAUGAGCCUAGGUCGGAUUAGCUAGUUGGUGGGGUAAAGGCCUACCAAGGCGACGAUCCGUAACUGGUCUGAGAGGAUGAUCAGUCACCCUGGAACUGAGACACGGUCCAGACUCCUACGGGAGGCAGCAGUGGGGAAUAUUGGACAAUGGGCGAAAGCCUGAUCCAGCCAUGCCGCGUGUAUGAAGAAGGUCUUCGGAUUGUAAAGCACUUUAAGUUGGGAGGAAGGGCAGUAAGUUAAUACCUUGCUGUUUUGACGUUACCAACAGAAUAAGCACCGGCUAACUUCGUG
RNAcentral lists this ribosomal RNA (484 nucleotides) under uncultured bacterium. RNAcentral's name for it is "partial 16S ribosomal RNA". It matches the Rfam family "Bacterial small subunit ribosomal RNA", at positions 30 to 507 of the family's 1533-position model. The record is from RNAcentral.